This 65-nucleotide transfer RNA is filed under the name Psilogramma menephron. Its description in RNAcentral is "tRNA-Arg". Lineage: Eukaryota; Metazoa; Arthropoda; Insecta; Lepidoptera; Sphingidae. The record is from RNAcentral.
AAAUAAGAAGCAAAAAUUUUGCAUUUAAUUUCGACUUAAAAUUUAGAGUAAUUACUCCUUAUUUA